UACGUAGGGUGCAAGCGUUACUCGGAAUUACUGGGCGUAAAGCGUGCGUAGGCGGUGAGUUAAGUCUGUCGUGAAAGCCCCGGGCUCAACCUGGGAAUGGCGAUGGAUACUGGCUCGCUAGAGUGCGGUAGAGGAGAGUGGAAUUACCGGUGUAGCAGUGAAAUGCGUAGAGAUCGGGAGGAACAUCAGUUGCGAAGGCGGCUCUCUGGACCAGCACUGACACUGAGGCACGAAAGCGUGGGGAGCAAACAGG
RNAcentral lists this ribosomal RNA (253 nucleotides) under uncultured bacterium. RNAcentral describes it as "partial 16S ribosomal RNA". It matches the Rfam family "Bacterial small subunit ribosomal RNA", at positions 524 to 776 of the family's 1533-position model. The record is from RNAcentral.